This 72-nucleotide transfer RNA is filed under the name Selaroides leptolepis (yellowstripe scad). RNAcentral's name for it is "tRNA-Trp". It matches the Rfam family "tRNA". Rfam says of the family: Transfer RNA (tRNA) molecules are approximately 80 nucleotides in length. Their secondary structure includes four short double-helical elements and three loops (D, anti-codon, and T loops). The record is from RNAcentral. Lineage: Eukaryota; Metazoa; Chordata; Actinopteri; Carangiformes; Carangidae.
UAGGGGUUUAGGAUAACACUAGACCAAGGGCCUUCAAAGCCCUAAGUGAGAGUGAAAAUCUCUCAGCCCCUG